GGGUCAGUAGGUUGGUCGUGCCACCGGUACGUACUGGUCUCACUGAUUCCUCCUUCCUGAAGAACCGUAAUGCCAUUAAUUUGGUGUUGCGGGGAAACAGGACUGUUACUUUGAAAAAAUUAGAGUGUUUAAAGCAAGCUGACGCUUGAAUACAUUAGCAUGUAAUAAUGAAAUAGGACGAUCGAUCCUAUUUUGUUGGUUUCUAGGAUUGACGUA
This 216-nucleotide ribosomal RNA is filed under the name Glomeromycotina sp. Its description in RNAcentral is "partial small subunit ribosomal RNA". The stretch from base 40 to 216 matches the Rfam family "Eukaryotic small subunit ribosomal RNA", at positions 686 to 864 of the family's 1831-position model. The record is from RNAcentral. Lineage: Eukaryota; Fungi; Glomeromycota.